This 292-nucleotide ribosomal RNA is filed under the name uncultured Acidobacteriota bacterium. Its description in RNAcentral is "uncultured Acidobacteria bacterium partial 16S ribosomal RNA". The record is from RNAcentral. Lineage: Bacteria; Pseudomonadati; Acidobacteriota.
GGACUACUGGGGUAUCUAAUCCUGUUUGCUACCCACGCUUUCGUGUCUCAGCGUCAGAAGAUGUCCAGUAAGCUGUCUACACCACAGGUGUUCCUCCUGAUAUCUACGCAUUUCACCGCUACACCAGGAAUUCCGCUUACCUCUCCAUCCCUCGAGCACUCCAGUUUCCGCCGCACCCUCCCAGUUAAGCCGGGAGAUUUCACAACAGACUUAGAGCACCGCCUACACACUCUUUACGCCCAGUAAUUCCGAACAACGCUCGCUGCCUACGUAUUACCGCGGCUGCUGGCAC